Long non-coding RNA from Gossypium raimondii (Peruvian cotton), 830 nucleotides. RefSeq lists it as uncharacterized. The transcript has 5 exons. Lineage: Eukaryota; Viridiplantae; Streptophyta; Magnoliopsida; Malvales; Malvaceae. The record is from RefSeq and is a predicted model, not a curated record.
CCCUCUUCCACUAUAGCUGUUCUCUCCUGUGUCCAACCCCUACCUCCACCACCUUCCCUCCCACUCCUCCCUGUCCCAACCCCCACCACCGCCUUUUUCCCUCAAAUGUAUCAUCAACAUCUCUCUCUCUCUCUCUGAUUUGCAAAUCUGGUAUUUGGUUUUUUCAUCCUUUGUGGGUACGGCGAAUGGGUUGUUUUUUUAUUUGGGUGAAAUCAAGAUUAUGGAGCAGCUUAGGCUUAGGUUUCAAUUCUUUACAAGUGCAAUGCAAUUUAAUCUCAUGCCUGAGAAUCAACUGUUGAGUCCCAAUGCAACACUGGUGAAGAAACUUCGUGAUGCAAUUCAUCAACUGAAGCUUAGAUAUGGACUUAGGCUCCUUUUGGAUGCAAAAUCAGCCAUGAUUUGGGAACUUCACAGACGUUUUGUUUUUCAUUGAGGUUAGGUUCCCUCAUUUCUAUGCCAGAAAUUUACUUCUCCUGACUUCCUCACCAAGAACAGAGAUAAAUCCUUUGAAUCUAAGUGACAAGAGCAACUAUCUAAAUCCAUCCAAAAGCAAGAGGUGAAACGAGAAGUGUUUUUGAACUUAGAUCCAUAUGAUAGGGUUUGGUGGCUUCGACGUGAGUAUGCUGAACAAAAUCCAAUUGCAUCAUUUUCAUUCUUGGUAGCAACAUCCUCAUUUCCCUUCCAACCAUACACAUCAACCACCUCCACCAUAAGCUCCUUAGAAUUAUUAUUGUAAUAUAACUAUAUUACUUUUUUAUAUGUAAAACUAAUGUAAGAUAUUUUUUAUGUUUGAUAUUUUUAUGCUAUGGUUUUAAUCAAGUUUCCGUGUU